Molecule: ribosomal RNA, 253 nt
Filed under: uncultured bacterium
Lineage: Bacteria
Description: partial 16S ribosomal RNA
Rfam family: Bacterial small subunit ribosomal RNA
Source: RNAcentral
UACGUAGGCAGCGAGCGUUGUUCGGAAUUACUGGGCGUAAAGAGUGUGUAGGCGGUGCUCCCAGUCUGUUGUGAAAUCUCCCGGCUUAACUGGGAGGGUGCAGCGGAAACUAGAGUGCUAGAGGGUGGGAGAGGUAAGCGGAAUUCCUGGUGUAGCGGUGAAAUGCGUAGAUAUCGGGAGGAACACCAGUGGCGAAGGCGAUCACCUGGGGUUGUUCUGACGCUGAGGAGCGAAAGCUAGGGGAGCGAACAGG